RNAcentral lists this long non-coding RNA (2323 nucleotides) under Panax ginseng (ginseng). RNAcentral's name for it is "long non-coding RNA (PGIN_LNC010234)". Lineage: Eukaryota; Viridiplantae; Streptophyta; Magnoliopsida; Apiales; Araliaceae. The record is from RNAcentral.
CUCCUACUUAUAGUUCACCAAAAUAAAUAAAUAAAAUCUUGGCUCUUGGUUCACACCAUUUCUACCUUUUAUAAGUUGUAUGCGUGCAAAUAAGGAAAAGUAAACCUUCAAGCAUUUAUUGUAACACUCGAUCAUUUGGAAUGACGGUUCCAUUUCUUUAGUUAUUCCCUUGUGAGUUAUAAUGUUAUUUUUCAUUGGGUCAUUUUUAUGCAGACUAACUAUGGAUCGAUCUAUCUAUCUCUACCGCCUUCAAUAGCUUCGAUAUUCUCUCAUGUCAUGCAUCAUAGGUACAUGUCUCUUCUGUCCUCUCCUCUCCUCUCCUCUAAAAUUGAUCGCAUAGUUUUCAUUUUAUAGGAUAAUUUUACUUCUCUCUUUCAAUUCGGCAAGACAUCUAACUUGUUUCAUCCAUUUGUAUUUAAUCAGAUCUGAUUUUGGUUAUAUUUGGUGAUUUUAGUGCUCAAUCAAUUUUGAUUAUAUAUGCACCACAAACACACAACUCCCAAUAGCAUCAUAAUAAAAGAUUGCUUUCAUGUUUCUGCUAUAGAAACUUAUAUGUACAAGGGCAGUUCGAAUUUUAUUAGUCGUGUAAAUUUGGAUUCGAGAUGGGGAUAUGGCCUAUGGGUAUCAUUAUUUAUUGUUUAACUCAUAAAAUUGUUGUUCAUUAAACUCGGCCCUUUUUCAAAAACGUCUUCGUCAACUUAGUACAAAACCUAAAUGACAAACAAUAAAUGAUGAUCCUCAUUUCCCAUCCCCAAUCCAAAUUUACACAACUAAUAAAAUUCAAACUGGCCUUGUACAUAUUACAAGUUUCUAAUUACAAAGGGAUAGCAGAAACAUGAAAGCAAUCUUUUAUCGUUACAAGUUCAAAUGGCCUAAUAAUUCUGCUUCGGCAAACCAAUAGAAUACAGAUAAUAAAACGUCUCUGACCAGCCAAUUUUAAUUUAAGAGCGAGUAUUACCCAGAAAUUCAACAAGAAGUUGAUUGAUUAACCAGUUAAUACCCAUAGAUCCAAUUAUUUUAUGAUACUCCUGAGCACCAAAAUCAUCAAACAUAACCAAAAUCAGAUUUGAUUAAAUACAAAUGGAUGAACAAAGUGAAGAAAUAAGUAAACUGAAGUUAGAUGUCUUACCGAAUUGAAAGAGAACAGCACGGGAAGCAAAAUUACCUAGAAAAUGAAAACUAUGGUAUCAAUUUUAGAGGAGAUGGAGGAGAGAAGGGAGAGGACAGAGGAGCGAGAAGAGAGAGAAAAGAGAAAGAAAGACAUGUACCCACAACGGAUGCUAUGAGAGGAGACCAAAGCUAUUGAAGGCAAUAGAGAUAGAUAGAUCGAUGGUUAGUCUGCAUAAAAAUGAGCAAGGCUUGAAACGGAAUGAAGUAAACCUACCUAUUAAGAUGGGAAUGAAAAAUAACAUUAUAACUGGGAAGGGAAUAACUUAAGGAAUGGAAUGGUCAUUCCAAAUGAUUAACCAAACUUCUUUUAAGUCAUUCAUGAAGGAAUCCCAGUCCAUUCCAUUCCAUUCCCACUGACCAAACAUAGUAUAAGAGUUGGGAAAAUGAACACAGACUUGCUCUUUGCUUACUACACUCAGCUUUUGGAUCCAGCUAUGUGAGUUAAAUUCAACAACAAAAAAAGGAGUGGUACAUUAGAUAAUGUUCUCUUCAUUGAAGGAAUUGGGGGGAUAAAUGAAAGCAUCCACACAUUUUAGAUGUUUACUUGAGGUGGAAGAACCCAAUAAAAGCUGCUUGGAGAAUCUAUGAAUUUUACUCGCAAAAAUCAGCAACGCAACUUUCAUCUUGGCAGCUUUAGAAAGAGAUUGUCUAGCUACACUUCUCUAAGUAUGGGCAAACCUUUUCUCACAAUAUCGUUAAUCUUUGCAUCCAGUCUCUUCUGAAUCCUCCAUGGACAAAGCUCUGCUGCAUAGCUAUUUAGUUUUGCUGCCAAGCUGGAAGUUUGAAGCUCUUCUUCAGGUAAGUUUCCCAUCAGCUGAAGAAGGAAGUGGUUUCGUUUUAACUCAAAUUUCUGAAAAUUUUCAAAACAUGGAUUUUCAUAAGUGUUUCAGUAUUUGAUACAUUUAUAUUUUCGAAAACGAGGUACCAUAAAAAAAUGGCCAGAAAUCAGAAAGCCACAAAGGUGCAUUGUAAUUUGUAAGGUGAAUCACAGUCUGUAAUCUGUAUAAAAUAUUCCAUAUGCUUCCAGUCACAUCCAUGCAUUUUGUUAUCAAACAAAAAAAACAAGGAGAAAAAGAAUUCUAGCUUAUAUAUGUUUCGCCUCUGAUGUAAUUUCUGUUAAUUGUGAAACUACUGAGUCACGUUUAACAAGUAU